AUUGAACGCUGGCGGCAUGCUUUACACAUGCAAGUCGAGCGGUAACAGGCCUUCGGGUGCUGACGAGUGGCGAACGGGUGAGUAAUGCAUCGGAACGUACCCAGAGGUGGGGGAUAACGCAGCGAAAGCUGUGCUAAUACCGCAUGUGAUCUGAGGAUGAAAGCGGGGGACCGAGCAGCAAUGUUUGGCCUCGCGCCUUUGGAGCGGCCGAUGUCGGAUUAGCUAGUUGGUGGGGUAAAGGCCUACCAAGGCGACGAUCCGUAGCUGGUCUGAGAGGACGGCCGGCCACACGGGGACUGAGACACGGCCCAGACUCCUACGGGAGGCAGCAGUGGGGAAUUUUGGACAAUGGGCGCAAGCCUGAUCCAGCAAUGCCGCGUGCGGGAAGAAGGCCUUCGGGUUGUAAACCGCUUUUGGCAGGAACGAAACGGUGUCCGCUAAUACCGGGCGCUAAUGACGGUACCUGCAGAAUAAGCACCGGCUAACUACGUG
Molecule: ribosomal RNA, 492 nt
Filed under: uncultured bacterium
Lineage: Bacteria
Description: partial 16S ribosomal RNA
Rfam family: Bacterial small subunit ribosomal RNA
Source: RNAcentral